This 591-nucleotide ribosomal RNA is filed under the name uncultured Enterococcus sp. RNAcentral describes it as "partial 16S ribosomal RNA". It matches the Rfam family "Bacterial small subunit ribosomal RNA", at positions 335 to 917 of the family's 1533-position model. The record is from RNAcentral. Lineage: Bacteria; Bacillati; Bacillota; Bacilli; Lactobacillales; Enterococcaceae.
ACUCCUACGGGAGGCAGCAGUAGGGAAUCUUCGGCAAUGGACGAAAGUCUGACCGAGSAACGCCGCSUGAGUGAAGAAGGUUUUCSGAUCGUAAAACUCUGUUGUUAGAGAAGAACAAGGACGUUAGUAACUGAACGUCCCCUGACGGKAUSUAACCAGAAAGCCACGGCUAACUACGUGCCAGCAGCCGCGGUAAUACGUAGGUGGCAAGCGUUGUCCGGAUUURCUGGGCGUAAAGCGAGCGCAGGCGGUUUCUUAAGUCUGAUGUGAARGCCCCCGGCUCAASCGGGGAGGGUCAUUGGAAACUGGKAGACUUGASUGCAGAAGAGGAKAGUGGAAUUCCAUGUGUAGMGGWGAAAUGCGUASAUAUAUGGAGGAACACCAGUGGCGAAGGCGGCUCUCUGGUCUGUAACUGACGCUGAGGCUCGAAAGCGUGGGGAGCAAACAGGAUUAGAUACCCUGGUAGUCCACGCCGUAMACGAUGAGUGCUAAGUGUUGGAGGGUUUCCGCCCUUCAGUGCUGCAGCAAACGCAUUAAGMACUCYGCCUGGGGAGUACGACCGCAAGGUUGAAACUCAAAUGARUUGACGGA